Molecule: long non-coding RNA, 999 nt
Filed under: Olea europaea (common olive)
Lineage: Eukaryota; Viridiplantae; Streptophyta; Magnoliopsida; Lamiales; Oleaceae
Description: long non-coding RNA (OEUR_LNC013917)
Source: RNAcentral
GGCACUUCUCCACUGGCAAAGGACGGACGCUGUCAAACCUGGCAGAGCAGAGGUCGUGAGUUCGAAACAUGGGGCUCUUGGAAGGCAAGAAUUUAUUCUUGAAAGGCAAGGGAACAUUUGGAAGGCAAUGAUUUAUUCUUGGAAGGCAAGUGGGAACUUGGAAGGCAAGGAUUAUUCUUGGAAGGCAAGGUGCAACUUGGAUUGACUUGCUUGGCACUUUGUCAGACCAGGUGGGGAGCGCUCAGACCCUGGCCAGUUGGAGGCACAUCCUGCGAUUAACCGGACUGUGUGAAGAGGGGCCGGAUCACAGACCCAAGAAUUAGUCUAGAAUAGGACACCUUGUAAAAAAAAAAAAAAAAAAAGAAUUGAAGGAAAACUAUUUUUUUUAGAGUAGAUAAAUCAUCACAUGAUUCUCCAAUUUCCCCCAACAAGACUCAGUGAUAUUGAGCAAGCACACUUACUUAUGGUACAACACACGGCCUCAAGCUGCUAUGCGAUAUCCCUCAAUUGUUUGCACCAUCUCAGCUGAUUGAGAAAUUACAUAAGUACCUUUACUUUCUACAUAGAUUUGAUGGAAAUUACCUAUUCAACAGCUUGAAGUCGUUGUAAAGAAGUGGUUUGGCUCGCCCCCCAGGGCACUUCUCCACUGGCAAAGGACGGACGCUGUCAAACCUGGCAGAGCAGAGGUCGUGAGUUCGAAACAUGGGGCUCUUGGAAGGCAAGAAUUUAUUCUUGAAAGGCAAGGGAACAUUUGGAAGGCAAUGAUUUAUUCUUGGAAGGCAAGUGGGAACUUGGAAGGCAAGGAUUAUUCUUGGAAGGCAAGGUGCAACUUGGAUUGACUUGCUUGGCACUUUGUCAGACCAGGUGGGGAGCGCUCAGACCCUGGCCAGUUGGAGGCACAUCCUGCGAUUAACCGGACUGUGUGAAGAGGGGCCGGAUCACAGACCCAAGAAUUAGUCUAGAAUAGGACACCUUGUAAAAAAAAAAAAAAAAAGAAAG